GCUGGGCAUGGUGGUGGGUGCCUGUAAUCCCAGCUACUCGGGAGGCUGAGGCAGGAGAAUCGCUUGAACCCAGGAGGCAGAGGCUGCAGUGAACUGAGAUCGCGCCAUUGCACUCCAGCCUGGGUGACAGAGUGAGACUCUGUCUCAA
RNAcentral lists this small RNA (148 nucleotides) under Papio anubis (olive baboon). Its description in RNAcentral is "Metazoan signal recognition particle RNA (ENSPANG00000039885.1)". RNAcentral also lists the same sequence under 1 other name. The record is from Rfam by way of RNAcentral. Lineage: Eukaryota; Metazoa; Chordata; Mammalia; Primates; Cercopithecidae.